CCUACGGGUGGCAGCAGUAGGGAAUUUUCGUCAAUGGGCGCAAGCCUGAACGAGCAAUGCCGCGUGAACGAGGAAGGUCUUCGGAUCGUAAAGUUCUGUUGAAGGGGAAAAAGAGCGGAGAGAGGAAAUGGUCUCCGAUUGAUAUUACCCUUCGAGGAAGUCACGGCUAACUACGUGCCAGCAGCCGCGAUAAUACGUAGGUGGCGAGCGUUAUCCGGAAUGAUUGGGCGUAAAGGGUGCGUAGGCAACCUGCUAAGUCUGGAGUGAAAGGUACCGGCUCAACCGGUACAGGCUCUGGAAACUGGCGGGCUAGAGAGCAGGAGAGGGCGGUGGAACUCCGUGUGUAGCGGUAAAAUGCGUAGAUAUAUGGAAGAACACCAGUGGCGAAGGCGGCCGCCUGGCCUGUUACUGACGCUGAGGCACGAAAGCGUGGGGAGCAAAUAGGAUUAGAUACCCCUGUAGUC
RNAcentral lists this ribosomal RNA (464 nucleotides) under uncultured bacterium. RNAcentral's name for it is "partial 16S ribosomal RNA". It matches the Rfam family "Bacterial small subunit ribosomal RNA", at positions 338 to 795 of the family's 1533-position model. The record is from RNAcentral.